Molecule: unclassified non-coding RNA, 338 nt
Filed under: soil metagenome
Description: partial contains 5.8S ribosomal RNA, internal transcribed spacer 2, and large subunit ribosomal RNA
Rfam family: 5.8S ribosomal RNA (bases 1-120)
Source: RNAcentral
GAUGAAGAACGUAGCGAAAUGCGAUAAGUAAUGUGAAUUGCAGAAUUCAGUGAAUCAUCGAAUCUUUGAACGCACAUUGCGCCCGCCAGUAUUCUGGCGGGCAUGCCUGUCUGAGCGUCAUUUCAACCCUCAAGCAACUUCUGCUUUGUGUUGGGGAUCGGCCGUUAAACGCCGCCCCCGAAAUCUAUUGGCGAUCUCGCUGUAGCUUCCUAUGCGUAGUAGUAACAUCUCGCAUCUGGAGAGCGGCGCGGUCAUGCCGUAAAACACCCAACUUCUCAGGUUGACCUCAGAUCAGGUAGGAAUACCCGCUGAACUUAAGCAUAUCAAUAAGCGGAGGA